RNAcentral lists this ribosomal RNA (351 nucleotides) under uncultured bacterium. RNAcentral describes it as "bacterial SSU rRNA". It matches the Rfam family "Bacterial small subunit ribosomal RNA", at positions 917 to 1271 of the family's 1533-position model. The record is from RNAcentral.
GGGCCCGCACAAGCGGUGGAGCAUGUGGUUUAAUUCGAUGAUACGCGAGGAACCUUACCAGGGCUUAAAUGUAGUCUGACAGCUUUAGAGAUAGAGUUUUCUUCGGACAGAUUACAAGGUGCUGCAUGGUUGUCGUCAGCUCGUGCCGUGAGGUGUCAGGUUAAGUCCUAUAACGAGCGCAACCCCUGUCGUUAGUUGCCAGCAUGUCAUGAUGGGGACUCUAACGAGACUGCCGGUGCAAACCGUGAGGAAGGUGGGGAUGACGUCAAAUCAUCACGGCCCUUACGUCCUGGCCACACACGUGCUACAAUGGCCAGUACAGAGAGCAGCCAAUGCGCAAGCAUGAGCGAA